AUUGAACGCUGGCGGCAGGCCUAACACAUGCAAGUCGAGCGGAUGAAGGGAGCUUGCUCCUGGAUUCAGCGGCGGACGGGUGAGUAAUGCCUAGGAAUCUGCCUGGUAGUGGGGGAUAACGUCCGGAAACGGGCGCUAAUACCGCAUACGUCCUGAGGGAGAAAGUGGGGGAUCUUCGGACCUCACGCUAUCAGAUGGGCCUAGGUCGGAUUAGCUAGUUGGUGGGGUAAAGGCCUACCAAGGCGACGAUCCGUAACUGGUCUGAGAGGAUGAUCAGUCACACUGGAACUGAGACACGGUCCAGACUCCUACGGGAGGCAGCAGUGGGGAAUAUUGGACAAUGGGCGAAAGCCUGAUCCAGCCAUGCCGCGUGUGUGAAGAAGGUCUUCGGAUUGUAAAGCACUUUAAGUUGGGAGGAAGGGCAGUAAGUGAAUACCUUGCUGUUUUGACGUUACCAACAGAAUAAGCACCGGCUAACUUCGUG
Molecule: ribosomal RNA, 484 nt
Filed under: uncultured bacterium
Lineage: Bacteria
Description: partial 16S ribosomal RNA
Rfam family: Bacterial small subunit ribosomal RNA
Source: RNAcentral